Long non-coding RNA from Macaca fascicularis (crab-eating macaque), 2127 nucleotides. Lineage: Eukaryota; Metazoa; Chordata; Mammalia; Primates; Cercopithecidae. The record is from Ensembl.
CUCUGACUUUCCUUUAAAAAUGACAUUAUGGCUGAGUGUACGUUCUUGAUACCUCUAUAAUCUUUUCAAAAACAUUGUGAAUGGUAUUCAACUAUCUUAUGUCAUUUAGUAUUGUUUGAGUAAGUGUAUAAGAAAUAGAACGUUUGUUCUACAUCUGACAAACUUUUUUUUUUUUUUUUUUUGGUCAGCUGCAGAACAAAAGUUAGAUUUUAUUUUCAGGAAAAGUUUAUAAUGCUUGUUGUCCACAGCAUUAUUUGGCCUAUUUUCUUUCUUUUUUUAUUACGAGAGAUUUAGUCCCAUCCAUAUUUUCGCCAAAAACAGGUUAUGUGGUGGUCCUUAUCUUGUCCAUCAAGCCCUUUUUCCCAAAGGAUAACUGAAGGAGAUCACAUACAUUCCAACUUACUGAGUCUGACAGACAUUCAUCUGAUGAGAUCCUCUUCAGCUGAGGAUUGAAAUGCUAUUUUUCUUCCCUGGUACAAUGUUAAAGCUUUAAACUCUUGUCAAUGAUGUGAUGUUUCAUCUGCAAUGAUCUACACUAGAAAAAUAAAAAUGUAGUUACUGACAAAAAAGCAGUAUGGAAUGUGGUAGCUGGUAUAUUCUCCAGUUGUAAGUCAAGAGAAUUUUAGCAUAAGGAACUACUGCUGUAAGGAAAAAAGGAGAGCUACAUGAGGACCACACAACUCCUGGAGGAGGUUUCCCUGGCAACACAACUUUUCCAUUCAUCUGGUUGCAGUGUUUUCAUCCAGUAGCCUGUCACCUCACUCAAAAGCAAGGCAGAUUUAUAAAGGAAGCUGCUGGAGGGAAUUCAUUCCCUUUUCGCUGUUCUGCCUUCCACCUUUCACUGUGUGAGGACACUGCAAGAAAGUCCUCAUCAGACACCAAUUGCCAGCACCUAGAUCUUGGAAUUCUCAGCCUCCAGAACUGUGAGAAAUACAUUUUUAUUUUUCUAUAAAAUAAUAAUAAUAAUAAAAAACUUCCAUGCAGGAAAAAAAAAUCAAGUUCAAAUGUCCUGUGGUGAGGGCAUGCCAGCUUUGUUUGAGAAGCAGUAAUCAUGCCUGUGUGACUGUAAUGAAAGAAUAAAAGAUAAAUUAGCAUGGAAGAAUGUAAUGUAGUCCUUUUCACUUUAAGCAAGAAAUUUGGCUUCAAUUCUAAAUCUGGUAAGAAAAAAAUAGAAGGUUCCAAACUAAGAAGUGACAUGAUAUGAAAUGUUUUAACAGAAUCACCUUCGUUACCAUAUUGCAAAUAAAAUGAAAGUGCAUCAAGGGCAGAAGUAGGAAGGCAAGUUAUGAGAUUGUUUUGAUAAUCCAGAGGAGUUGGGAUGGUGACUUAAAGCAGUAUGGUAGCGAUCGGUUGGGUAAGCACAUGGAAUCCUGGGUAUUUAUUAAAGGUUCAGCAAAAAGGAUUUACAGAUGAAACAGAUAUGGGUCAUGAGAAAGAGUCAAGUUAAAGAUUAUAUCAAAAUUUUUUAUCUGAACAACUCGCAGUGCUGUGGUAAAUCCUUACCCCAACAAUUUACAUGACCAAUAACUGAGUGGGAACAUUAAGGAGGGGAUGGUUUGAGGAAGAAUCAGGAUCUCAGGUUGGAAAUAUUAAGAUGAAUAUGCCUAUUUAACAAUCAAAUGAAAAAUAGUAUUUUUGUAAUUUUCAGUAUUUAUUUGGCAAGAGAUUAAUCUAUAGCACUGUUACUACUUUCUCUUUUUCAUAAAAGUUGUUUUGGUAUAAAAUCAACCUGACUGGAAACUAUUCAAAUAUAUAAGCCUUUAGCUCUGACCUAUUACUUAUAUUUUUUUGCCAUUAAUAAUAUGAAUAUCCACCAAACAAGAACUUGAGACUAUAACUCUUUUCUCCACUAAAUCUUCAUAUUAAAUUAGUCAUUUAAAUAUGAUUAUUCUUUUCAUUUAUUGCUAAAUACUUUCCAUUACAUUCAAACUUAUUGAGACAUCCUUUAAUUUUAUAAUUUAUUUAAUGUAUUAAUUCCCUAGCUUCUAAACUGGUUCUCUCUACUGCAACUCUAUUUUCUUCUUAAUAACUCAUCAUCUACAUUCCCCAAUGUCUUAUUUUUCCAAAACAAAAGUGCACUCAUGUCCUUCUAGGGCAUACAUUUCUUUAAUGGCUUUCUAUUGUUAU